UGAAUACGAGACGCUAAGGCGUCGAAGUAGUGUAUGUCAUACUUCCAAGAAAAGCUUGCACUGUCAUAGAUAAAAAACGCCUGUACCAUAACCGACACAGGUGGGUAGGUAGAGUAUACUAAGGGGCGCGAGAUAACUCUCUCUAAGGAACUCGGCAAAAUAACUCCGUAACUUCGGGAGAAGGAGUGCCUUAUUCGUAAGGUUGCAAUAACAAGAUCCAAGCAACUGUUUAUCAAAAACACAGGUCUCCGCUAAGUCGUAAGACGAUGUAUGGGGGCUGACGCCUGCCCAGUGCCAGAAGGUUAAAGAAGUUGGUUAGCAAUUGCGAAGCUGAUAACUGAAGCCCUGGUGAACGGCGGCCGUAACUAUAACGGUCCUAAGGUAGCGAAAUUCCUUGUCGGGUAAGUUCCGACCCGCACGAAAGGCGUAAUGAUUUGGAUACUGUCUCGGAGAGGGGCUCGGUGAAAUAGACUUGUCUGUGAAGAUGCGGACUACCUGCACCAGGACAGAAAGACCCUAUGAAGCUUUACUGUAACUUGAAAUUGAAAUUGGACUUUAUUCGCGCAGUAUAGGUGGGAGGCGUUGAUUAUAAUCUUGUGGGAUUAUUGGAGCCAUCAGUGAGAUACCACUCUUGUAAUGUUAGAUUUCUAACUUUGAAUCAUUAUCUGGUCAAAGAACAGUUUCAGGCGGGCAGUUUGACUGGGGCGGUCGCCUCCUAAACGGUAACGGAGGCGUACAAAGGUUUCCUCUGAACGGUUAGAAAUCGUAUCUAGAGUGUAAAGGCAUAAGGAAGCUUGACUGUGAGACCUACAAGUCGAGCAGGGACGAAAGUCGGUCUUAGUGAUCUGACGGUACUGAGUGGAAAGGCCGUCACUCAACGGAUAAAAGUUACUCUAGGAUAACAGGCUGAUCUCCCCCAAGAGUUCACAUCGACGGGGAGGUUUGGCACCUCGAUGUCGGCUCAUCGCAUCCUGGGGCGGUAGUACGUCCCAAGGGUUGGGCUGUUCGCCCAUGAAAGCGGUACGCGAGCUGGGUUCAGAACGUCGUGAGACAGUUCGGUCCAUAUCCGGUGUAGGCGUUAGAAUAUUGAGAGGAGCCUUCUUUAGUACGAGAGGACCGAGAAGGACAUACCUCUGGUGUACCGGUUAUCGUGCCAACGGUAAACGCUGGGUAGCUAUGUAUGGAGUGGAUAACCGCUGAAAGCAUCUAAGUGGGAAGCCCACCUCAAGAUAAGUAUUCUCA
RNAcentral lists this ribosomal RNA (1242 nucleotides) under metagenome. RNAcentral's name for it is "bacterial LSU rRNA". It matches the Rfam family "Bacterial large subunit ribosomal RNA", at positions 1564 to 2816 of the family's 2925-position model. The record is from RNAcentral.